RNAcentral lists this long non-coding RNA (265 nucleotides) under Elaeis guineensis (African oil palm). RNAcentral's name for it is "long non-coding RNA (EGUI_LNC038676)". The record is from RNAcentral. Lineage: Eukaryota; Viridiplantae; Streptophyta; Magnoliopsida; Arecales; Arecaceae.
UCACACAAGUGUUCGGUCUCUACAGGUAUCCACACGGGGCUAAUCUUGAUCAAGAGAUUCCAAAAUCACUAGGGUGCUAGCUCCUUUGCAGAUUUCUAUCCUUCAAAGCUAAAUUAUCUUCUUCUUUUGUUUUCAAAAAAUCAAUCAAGAAGACUAUAGAUAGGAGAUGAGAGGAUGGAUGGAGGAAGGGGAGAAGAGGAUCCAAUCCUCUUUUUUCUUUCUUUUGCUUUUUGGAUAAUAAGAAAAAGAGACAAAGGGGGCGCAG